GACGAACGCUGGCGGCGUGCUUAACACAUGCAAGUCGAACGGAAAGGCCCGGCUUUUGUGGGGUUCUCGAGUGGCGAACGGGUGAGUAACACGUGAGUAACCUGCCCUUGACUUUGUGAUAACUUCAGGAAACUGGGGCUAAUACCGGGUAGGAGCUCCUGCUGCAUGUGGGGGGUUGGAAAGAGUCGGCGGUUGUGGAUGGACUCGCGGCUUAUCGGCUUGUUGGUGGGGUAGUGGUUUACCAAGGCUUUGACGGGUAGCCGGCAUGAGAGGGUGACCGGCCACCUUGGGACUGAGAUACGGCCCAGACUCCUACCGGAGGCAGCGGGGGAGAAUAUUGCACAAUGGGCGGAAGCCUGAUGCAGCAGCCCCGCGUGCGGGAUGCUGGCCUUCGGGUUGUAAACCGAUUUCGCCUGUGACGAAGCGUGAGUGACGGUAAUGGGUAAAGAAGCAACGGCUAACUACGUG
This 468-nucleotide ribosomal RNA is filed under the name uncultured bacterium. RNAcentral's name for it is "partial 16S ribosomal RNA". It matches the Rfam family "Bacterial small subunit ribosomal RNA", at positions 28 to 507 of the family's 1533-position model. The record is from RNAcentral.